Long non-coding RNA from Hippocampus comes (tiger tail seahorse), 320 nucleotides. RefSeq lists it as uncharacterized. The transcript has 3 exons. The record is from RefSeq and is a predicted model, not a curated record. Lineage: Eukaryota; Metazoa; Chordata; Actinopteri; Syngnathiformes; Syngnathidae.
GUCAAUAAUGCACGUGAAGGAAAAUUCUGCAAAAACUGCAAAAGGACACAAAGAUGAGAAAGGUCCGACUGUGAGUGUGACCGGACGUUGAUCUAUGUGCAGCCUCCCAUUGACUGUCAUUAUCGUCAUCGUUGUGUAUGGGUUGUGAAUUCCCCAAGAGUUUGGGGUCAGCCGUGUCACAGAACGGUCACGCUAAGCUGCCAGAGCCAGCCCAGCGUAAGCAGCUUUCAGCGUAUCAGGCAUCGGAGCUUGGCCCAAACUCAUUGCGGAGGAUUGAAUUAACUUCUGCAGUCACACACAGUUGUAAGUAAAACAAGAAA